RNAcentral lists this ribosomal RNA (450 nucleotides) under uncultured bacterium. RNAcentral's name for it is "partial 16S ribosomal RNA". It matches the Rfam family "Bacterial small subunit ribosomal RNA", at positions 338 to 795 of the family's 1533-position model. The record is from RNAcentral.
CCUACGGGGGGCAGCAGUAAGGAAUAUUGGUCAAUGGACGCAAGUCUGAACCAGCCAUGCCGCGUGGAGGAUGAAGGUCCUCUGGAUUGUAAACUUCUUUUAUUUGGGAAGAAACUCCCGAUUUCCAUCGGGAUUGACGUUACCAGAUGAAUAAGCACCGGCUAACUCCGUGCCAGCCGCCCCGGUAAUACGGAGGGUGCAGGCGUUAUCGGGAUUAACUGGUGUGAAGGGGGGCAGGUAAGGCAAGGUUGAAAUCUCCGGGCUUAACCCGGAAACUGCCAUUGAUACUAUUUGUCUUGAAUACUCUGGAGGGGAGCGGAAUAUGUCAUGUAGCGGUGAAAUGCUUAGAUAUGACAUAGAACACCCAUUGCGAAGGCAGCUCACUACGGAAAUAUUGACGCUGAGGCACGAAAGCGUGGGGAUCAAACAGGAUUAGAUACCCCUGUAGUC